AUACGGAGGGUGCGAGCGUUGUUCGGAAUUAUUGGGCGUAAAGCGCGUGUAGGCGGUCUUUUAAGUCUGAUGUGAAAGCCCCGGGCUCAACCCGGGAAGUGCAUUGGAUACUGGGAGACUUGAAUACGGGAGAGGGUAGUGGAAUUCCUAGUGUAGGAGUGAAAUCCGUAGAUAUUAGGAGGAACACCGGUGGCGAAGGCGGCUGCCUGGACCGAUAUUGACGCUGAGACGCGAAAGCGUGGGUAGC
This 247-nucleotide ribosomal RNA is filed under the name uncultured bacterium. RNAcentral's name for it is "partial 16S ribosomal RNA". It matches the Rfam family "Bacterial small subunit ribosomal RNA", at positions 523 to 769 of the family's 1533-position model. The record is from RNAcentral.